Molecule: small nucleolar RNA, 96 nt
Organism: Ailuropoda melanoleuca (giant panda)
Lineage: Eukaryota; Metazoa; Chordata; Mammalia; Carnivora; Ursidae
Source: Ensembl
AUGACCAGUAAUGACAGUUGGUGGCGUAUGAGUCAUGGAUGAUGAGAGCCUCUUAAAAUGCAGCUUCAGAUUCACUCAGUCUGAGGAACGGUCUGA